Molecule: transfer RNA, 93 nt
Filed under: Polycyclovorans sp.
Lineage: Bacteria; Pseudomonadati; Pseudomonadota; Gammaproteobacteria; Nevskiales; Nevskiaceae
Description: tRNA-Ile
Rfam family: tRNA
About the family: Transfer RNA (tRNA) molecules are approximately 80 nucleotides in length.
Source: RNAcentral
GGCGGUGUAGCUCAGCGUGGUUAGAGCGCAGCCCAGAUCAGCCGUGAUGGCCCCAGGCUGAGGUCGGAGGUUCAACCCCUCCCGCCGCUACCA